GGCCUCGUAGUUCAAUGGAUAGAAUAAAGGAUUCCGGUUCCUUCGAUCGGGGUUCGACCCCCCGCGAGGUCA
RNAcentral lists this transfer RNA (72 nucleotides) under Candidatus Enterocola intestinipullorum. RNAcentral describes it as "tRNA-Arg". It matches the Rfam family "tRNA". Rfam says of the family: Transfer RNA (tRNA) molecules are approximately 80 nucleotides in length. Their secondary structure includes four short double-helical elements and three loops (D, anti-codon, and T loops). Further hydrogen bonds mediate the characteristic L-shaped molecular structure. tRNAs have two regions of fundamental functional importance: the anti-codon, which is responsible for specific mRNA codon recognition, and the 3' end, to which the tRNAs corresponding amino acid is attached (by aminoacyl-tRNA synthetases). tRNAs cope with the degeneracy of the genetic code in two manners: having more than one tRNA (with a specific anti-codon) for a particular amino acid; and 'wobble' base-pairing, i.e. permitting non-standard base-pairing at the 3rd anti-codon position. Lineage: Bacteria; Pseudomonadati; Bacteroidota; Bacteroidia; Bacteroidales. The record is from RNAcentral.